RNAcentral lists this ribosomal RNA (380 nucleotides) under uncultured bacterium. RNAcentral describes it as "bacterial SSU rRNA". It matches the Rfam family "Bacterial small subunit ribosomal RNA", at positions 790 to 1167 of the family's 1533-position model. The record is from RNAcentral.
GUAGUCCACGCCGUAAACGAUGGGUGCUAGCUGUUCGGAGGUUACCUCUGAGUAGCGCAGCUAACGCGUUAAGCACCCCGCCUGGGGAGUACGGUCGCAAGAUUAAAACUCAAAGAAAUUGACGGGGACCCGCACAAGCGGUGGAACAUGUGGUUUAAUUCGAGGCAACGCGAAGAACCUUACCAGGGCUUGACAUGCCCCUCGCGAGCCCCCGAAAAGGGGCUCUUCAGUUCGGCUGGAGGGAGCACAGGUGCUGCAUGGCUGUCGUCAGCUCGUGUCGUGAGAUGUUGGGUUAAGUCCCGCAACGAGCGCAACCCUCGUCCUCUGUUGCUAACAGGUAAUGCUGAGAACUCUGAGGAAACUGCCGGUGAUAAGCCGGA